RNAcentral lists this ribosomal RNA (501 nucleotides) under uncultured bacterium. Its description in RNAcentral is "bacterial SSU rRNA". It matches the Rfam family "Bacterial small subunit ribosomal RNA", at positions 30 to 532 of the family's 1533-position model. The record is from RNAcentral.
AUUGAACGCUGGCGGCAUGCUUUACACAUGCAAGUCGAACGGUAACAGGGAGCUUGCUCCGCUGACGAGUGGCGAACGGGUGAGUAAUGCAUCGGAACGUACCCAGUCGUGGGGGAUAACGUAGCGAAAGUUACGCUAAUACCGCAUACGUCCUGAGGGAGAAAGCGGGGGACCGUAAGGCCUCGCGCGAUUGGAGCGGCCGAUGUCGGAUUAGCUAGUUGGUGGGGUAAAGGCCUACCAAGGCGACGAUCCGUAGCGGGUCUGAGAGGAUGAUCCGCCACACUGGGACUGAGACACGGCCCAGACUCCUACGGGAGGCAGCAGCUAAGAAUCUUCCUCAAUGGGGGAAACCCUGGAAGGAGCGACACUGCGUGCAGGAUGAAGGCCCUUUGGGUUGUAAACUGCUUUUGCAGGGGAAAAUAACCGAAUGGGAUGAUAGUACUCUGCGAAUAAGGUCCCGGCUAAACUACGUGCCAGCAGGCCGUCGGAAGCUGUAGUCGU